This 305-nucleotide ribosomal RNA is filed under the name uncultured bacterium. RNAcentral describes it as "bacterial SSU rRNA". It matches the Rfam family "Bacterial small subunit ribosomal RNA", at positions 333 to 655 of the family's 1533-position model. The record is from RNAcentral.
GAGCUCCUACGGGAGGCAGCAGUGGGGAAUUUUGCGCAAUGGGGGAAACCCUGACGCAGCAACGCCGCGUGAGUGACGAAGGUCUUCGGAUUGUAAAACUCUGUUCUUGGUGAAGAUAAUGACGGUAGCCAAGGAGAAAGCUCCGGCUAACUACGUGCCAGCAGCCGCGGUAAUACGUAGGGAGCGAGCGUUGUCCGGAAUUACUGGGUGUAAAGGGUGCGUAGGCGGCCUUGCAAGUCAGGCGUGAAAACCAUGGGCUCAACCCGUGGACUGCGUUUGAAACUGUAAGGCUUGAGUGAAGUAGG